CCAGCCUUUGCUGCUUCCCUUAAUCAAGGGAAAUCCAGCCUUCCUCGCCUUUAAUUGGGAACCAUUCUCAAGAUCGGCCACACCCGUGUUCUCUGAUCGUUGGGAUAAAUGCAUUCCGGUAGCUCUCCGCUUUAUUUUGUGAUGGUCGAUUGAUGACUUUUGAAGAGCUAAUUAGCAAAUAUUCUCUCUCUCAGACACACUUCCUGCAAUAUCUUCAGGUUGAUUGAAAUGCAGAAGCAUAAGAUCAUACGAAAAUAAGGAAGGGCCGAGCUCGAAGAAGCGGCCGUGGCUGGAGGCCGACAAGGCCUCCGGCUCGAGUUCGGCGGCGGGCGGUGCCAAGGCAGCUAGUGAGAACAAACUGGAGGAGAGGCUGUACUCGGUGCUGUCGCGAGAUCGAAGAAGAUGGAGGUGCAUAGUCGCCAACCCCGGAUUUGGAACGGCACCCACUGACUGACUGAUACACGUAUAUACGUCACCAUAUACAACCCUGAGAUUCAUUUUCUUGUGGGCAUACUCAAGAAAUCCAUAGAAUAAUAACUAUAAUAGGAUCAAUGGAAGACUUCCCAACUAGGGUGUUCAACCAGACUGCAGAAGACAGCAAACUGUGCAAGGCAAAAAAGAAGAAACAAUAAUAAUGUGAAUUAAUAAGCAAUAAACAUUGUGAGAUGAAGAGUCCGUGAAAGUGAUUCCAUAGGUUGUGGGAGCAUUUCAAUGAUGGGGCAAGUGAAGUUAUCCAUUUUGGUUUAAAAGCCUGAUGGUUGAGGGGUGAUAAUUGCUCCUGAACCUGGUGCUGAGAAUCCUGAGGCUCCUGUACCUUCUUGCUGAUGGUAGCACUGAGGAGAGAGCAUGUCCUGGGUGAUGGGGGUCCCUGAUAAUGGAUGUUACUUUCCUGUAACAGCGUUUCAUGUAGAUAUGUUCAAUGGCUGGCAGGGUUUUACUUGUGUUGUGGGCCGAAUCCACUACUUUUUCUAGGAUUUUCCGUUCAAGGGCAUUGGUGUUUCCAUACCAGGCUGUGAUGCAACCAGUUACUAGACUCUCUACUACACAUCUACAGAAGAUUAUCAAUGUUUUGGAUGUCAUGCUAAAUCUUUGCAAACUCCUGAGGAAGUAGAGGCACUACAGUGCUUUCUUUGUAAUUGGCCCUACAUGCUUGCCCAGGACAGGUCUUCUGAAAUAAUAACACCUAGGAAUUUAGAUUUGCUAACCCUCCUCACCUCUGAUCCUCCAAAGAGGCCUGGCUGAUGGACCUCUGGUUUCCUUCUCCUGUAGUCCACAAUCAGUUCCUUGGUCUUGCUGACAUUGACUGAGAGGUUGCUGUUACGACACCACUCAGCCAGAUUUUUAAUCUCCCUCCUAUAGGCUGAUUCAUCACGACCCUUGAUUCAGCUUACGAUAGUGGCAUCAUCUGCAAACUUGAAUAUGGCAUUAGGGCUGUGCUUACCCAUACCACUCCAGAUCAAGUGUAAAGCAGGUAGAGCAGGGGGCUCAGUACACAGCCUUGUGCUGCACCUGUGCUGAUAGAGAUCACGAAGGAGAUGUUGUUGCCAAUCUGACGUGACUGGGGUCUGCAAGUGUGGAAGUCGAGGAUCCAACUGCACAAAGAGGUAUUGAGCCCAGGUCUUGGUGCUUAUUGAUUAGAUUUGAGGGGAUGAUGGUAUUGAAUGCUGAGCUGUAGUCGAUAAAGAGCAUCCUGGUGUAUGCACCUUUGCUUCCAGAUGUUCCAGGGUUGAGUGAAGAGCCAAUGAAAUGGUAUCUGCUGUGGACAUGUUGCUCCAGUAGGCAGAUUGGAGUGGAUCUAAGUCACUACUAAGGCAGGAGUUGAUAUGGUUUAUCACCAACCUCUCAAAACACUUCCUCACAGUGGAUGUAAAUGCUACUGGGCCGUAGUCAUUGAGGGAGGUCACCAAGCUCUUCGUGGGCACUGGUAUAACAGAAGCCUGCAUGAGGCAGAGGGGUACCUCACACUGCCGAUGCGAGAGGUUGAAGAUCUCAGUGAACACACCACUGUUGUGAAACUUGUUGUUUUAUGACAGCGGUACUGCGUAUGACAGGGGUCCCCAACCUUUUUUGCGCUGCGGACCGGCUUAAUAUUGACAAUAUUCUUGCAGACCGCCUGACCCGGCAGGGAGGGGUGGGGGGUAGGGUUGCCAACACACAAGAGUAGCAGUCAAAUACGUUGGGUUUACCCCGAGAAAGACUACCAUGACCAUGAAGCCUUGCGCGGGCACCAGUGCGCAUGCGUGUUCAUGCUGAUUUUUUUCCAGAAAUCGUUUUUGGCGAUUCUGUUGGGGAGUUGGGGGGGCAGUGUUAAUCACGACCAGAACAUAGGUGGUAAGUGGCUAAUACACUCAAUUUUGUUCCUAAAAGGGUUUAUCUAACAAAUUUAAUAUUAAACACACAGCGCAUAUUUUCCUCGCAUGAAUAUAGUGAUAAGUCAAUUAUCAGAGGAGGACAGGGGAGCUUGAAGUAAGUGUUGAACAAACUUCCAGUAGAAGUGGUAGAGGCAGGUUCGAUAUUAUCAUUUAACGAAAAAUUGGAUAGGUAUAUGGACAGGAAAG
This is a long non-coding RNA of Mobula hypostoma (lesser devil ray), 2558 nucleotides long. RefSeq lists it as uncharacterized. Lineage: Eukaryota; Metazoa; Chordata; Chondrichthyes; Myliobatiformes; Myliobatidae. The record is from RefSeq and is a predicted model, not a curated record. The transcript has 3 exons.